GGUGAAGCUGCCUGCGCCUGCGCUGCUGGGCCCGCUUCGCUCGUGGGGAGGGGGCUUAGAGGAAGUGUGCUUGUGUGUGUGCGUGUGCGUGUGCAUGUGCGUGUGCGUGUGUGUGUGUGUGUUGCUUCCUCCUGGACACUCCAUACCACAUCCUCGUGUCUCUGUGCGGACCUGCUGUGCUGCAGGCUGUGCCGGUAGCCAGGGAUCACAGAGUUGCUACCUCCCCUGCCUGAGCCACAGAGCCAACAAGGCCACAGGGAAUGCUGCCACCCUAGUACAGGGUAAUCCAAGCCACAAGAUGAAAGGUAGGCUGGCCCGAGAAUUAUGCAUGAGCCAGGUUCUUGUUGGAGACCACACUGUAUGAUCAAGCCGUCCUGUGCAGAGAUGGAGGC
This 392-nucleotide long non-coding RNA is filed under the name Rattus norvegicus (Norway rat). RNAcentral's name for it is "long non-coding RNA NONRATT014825". The record is from RNAcentral. Lineage: Eukaryota; Metazoa; Chordata; Mammalia; Rodentia; Muridae.